GAUCAUGGCUCAGGACGAACGCUGGCGGCGCGCCUAACACAUGCAAGUCGAACGAGCGAGAGAGAGCUUGCUUUCUCGAGCGAGUGGCGAACGGGUGAGUAACGCGUGAGGAACCUGCCCUCAAAGAGGGGGACAACAGUUGGAAACGACUGCUAAUACCGCAUAAGCCCACGGCUCGGCAUCGAGCAGAGGGAAAAGGAGUGAUCCGCUUUGAGAUGGCCUCGCGUCCGAUUAG
Molecule: ribosomal RNA, 235 nt
Filed under: uncultured bacterium
Lineage: Bacteria
Description: partial 16S ribosomal RNA
Rfam family: Bacterial small subunit ribosomal RNA
Source: RNAcentral